Molecule: small nucleolar RNA, 133 nt
Filed under: Monopterus albus (swamp eel)
Lineage: Eukaryota; Metazoa; Chordata; Actinopteri; Synbranchiformes; Synbranchidae
Description: Small nucleolar RNA SNORA13 (ENSMALG00000019319.1)
Rfam family: Small nucleolar RNA SNORA13
About the family: ACA13 is a member of the H/ACA class of snoRNA that guide the sites of modification of uridines to pseudouridines.
Source: RNAcentral
UGCCUUUGUGUUACCCAUUUGUUGCCUUCUACAAUAAAUGUGGUGUCAAUAAAGGCAUACAGCAAUUCUUGGAUCGGCCUUAGUGAGGUUCCUUUCCAGUGACCUUGUCCUAAGUUCUAUACCAAGCACAGUA